GCCGCGGUAGCUCAGUUGGUAGAGCAGUGGACUGAAAAUCCACGUGUCGGCAGUUCGAUUCUGCCCUGCGGCACCA
RNAcentral lists this transfer RNA (76 nucleotides) under Bacillota bacterium. Its description in RNAcentral is "Firmicutes bacterium (anaerobic digester metagenome) tRNA-Phe". It matches the Rfam family "tRNA". From Rfam's summary of the family: Transfer RNA (tRNA) molecules are approximately 80 nucleotides in length. Their secondary structure includes four short double-helical elements and three loops (D, anti-codon, and T loops). Further hydrogen bonds mediate the characteristic L-shaped molecular structure. tRNAs have two regions of fundamental functional importance: the anti-codon, which is responsible for specific mRNA codon recognition, and the 3' end, to which the tRNAs corresponding amino acid is attached (by aminoacyl-tRNA synthetases). tRNAs cope with the degeneracy of the genetic code in two manners: having more than one tRNA (with a specific anti-codon) for a particular amino acid; and 'wobble' base-pairing, i.e. permitting non-standard base-pairing at the 3rd anti-codon position. The record is from RNAcentral. Lineage: Bacteria; Bacillati; Bacillota. RNAcentral also lists the same sequence under 1 other name.